RNAcentral lists this ribosomal RNA (465 nucleotides) under Shigella flexneri 4343-70. RNAcentral describes it as "partial 16S ribosomal RNA". Lineage: Bacteria; Pseudomonadati; Pseudomonadota; Gammaproteobacteria; Enterobacterales; Enterobacteriaceae. The record is from RNAcentral.
GGCGGGUAAACCUGUCGUAAAUUGUGCGAUUGAACUGCGGGCCAGAAGAACCAGUCCGACCGUUGUGGCACACGUUGUUGCCACUUGCGUGACGGACAAUAACGGUGCUUAUGUGAUUGAGGCUGAGCCGGGGUAUUACGAGGUUGCGCUUCACUGUAACGGCUGGCAGCCAACCCGUGUCGGGGAUAUUGAUGUGGCACCGACUGAUGCACCGGGGACACUGAACGCGUUUCUGAAUGCACCAAAGGAUGGUGAUUUACGUCCGGAGGUGAUGAAGCGCUUUGAGGAAAUGGUGGCGCAGGCGCAGCAGAGUGCCGGGGCUGCAGCCGGAAACGCACAGCAGACGGCGCAGGAUGUGGCGGCAGCCGCAACGGCCCGUGAUGAUGCACAACGUUUUGCGGAGAAAGCCCGACAGGAUGCAACCGUCACAGCUGAGGACAGAAAGGCCACUGCGGAGGAUGUGAC